GCCUGGCUAGCUCAGUCGGCUAGAGCGUGGUGCUAAUAAUGCCAAGGUUGCAGGUUUGAUCCCUGUAUGGGACU
RNAcentral lists this transfer RNA (74 nucleotides) under Podarcis lilfordi (Lilford's wall lizard). RNAcentral describes it as "tRNA.Ile". The stretch from base 8 to 66 matches the Rfam family "tRNA", at positions 8 to 63 of the family's 71-position model. From Rfam's summary of the family: Transfer RNA (tRNA) molecules are approximately 80 nucleotides in length. Their secondary structure includes four short double-helical elements and three loops (D, anti-codon, and T loops). The record is from RNAcentral. Lineage: Eukaryota; Metazoa; Chordata; Lepidosauria; Squamata; Lacertidae.